GUGCUCGCUUCGGCAGCACAUACACUAAAAUUAUAACGAUAUAGAGAAGAGUAGCGUGGCCCCUGCGCAAGGAUGACAUGCAAAUUUGUGAAGCGUUCCGUAUUUUU
This is a small nuclear RNA of Delphinapterus leucas (beluga whale), 107 nucleotides long. The record is from Ensembl. NCBI's taxonomy places the organism in Eukaryota, Metazoa, Chordata, Mammalia, Artiodactyla, Monodontidae.